UGGGGAAUAUUGGACAAUGGGCGCAAGCCUGAUCCAGCCAUGCCGCGUGUGUGAAGAAGGCCUUAUGGUUGUAAAGCACUUUAAGCGAGGAGGAGGCUACUUUAGUUAAUACCUAGAGAUAGUGGACGUUACUCGCAGAAUAAGCACCGGCUAACUCUGUGCCAGCAGCCGCGGUAAUACAGAGGGUGCAAGCGUUAAUCGGAUUUACUGGGCGUAAAGCGCGCGUAGGCGGCUAAUUAAGUCAAAUGUGAAAUCCCCGAGCUUAACUUGGGAAUUGCAUUCGAUACUGGUUAGCUAGAGUGUGGGAGACGAUGGUAGAAUUCCAGGUGUAGCGGUGAAAUGCGUAGAGAUCUGGAGGAAUACCGAUGGCGAAGGCAGCCAUCUGGCCUAACACUGACGCUGAGGUGCGAAAGCAUGGGGAGCAAACAGG
Molecule: ribosomal RNA, 430 nt
Filed under: Pseudomonadota bacterium
Lineage: Bacteria; Pseudomonadati; Pseudomonadota
Description: Proteobacteria bacterium partial 16S ribosomal RNA
Rfam family: Bacterial small subunit ribosomal RNA
Source: RNAcentral